UAAAGUAAAAGAAACAAUGAAACAAAGAAGAAAAGAAACAGAAUAGCUAGAAAAGAAACAGAGAAAGAGACGAAAAACAGGGGAAGAAAAAGGGAAAGAAAAUAAAAAGGGGAAAUUGAGAUUUUAAAGCUUCAAGUUAAUUGGUAAGCUAAAUUUAGCCCUUUUCUCUUCAUUUUGAUGUUUUAGAAGCUUUAAAACAAAGUUUUGUUGAAGUUAAGUGGAGGUUAUGGAAGUUCAUAGGUUUUUGAACAUGAUUCAUUUUGAACAAGUUGUUAAAUUAGGGGUUUAGUUGAUAGAAUUUCUAGUUAGAAUAGAUAAAAAGAAUGAUUUGUAAACUAAGUUGUAAGUUUUACAUAGUUGGGAUUAAGUUACAAAAAGCCUUAAAUUAGGGUUUAUGUUGAAUAAAUGAUGGAAUUGAGGAUUUAUUUGAUAGAGUUUCUAGUUAGAGUUGAUACAAGGAUUAAAUUGUGAAGUAAGCUACAAGUUUUGAAUUUUAGGGAUUAAAUUGGGGAAAAUUCGAAAUUAGUGAAAAAUGCUGAAAAUUUUGUAGAUAAAAUUUAGUUUAGAAGAAAUUUGAAUAGAAAUAGAGUGUGAAUUAAAUUAGAAAAGUAGAUAAAUUUAGUUAGGAUUAAAUUGGAAUCAAAGUCUAAAUUAGAUAGAAAUUUUAUUAUUAUUAAUUUAUGUUGUAAUUAAUGGUGUAAAUUAUUAUUAUUUUCGUAGCUAACAAGGAACUCGAAGCAUCGGCACACAAAGGAAAGGAGAAGGUUAUUGAGGAAUAAUCGAGUAAAUUCGGGUUUGUAUUACUAUAAUUCAAGUUAUUUAUUAUUAAAUGCUAAAUUUUAAUUUAUAUGUGUCUAGUAAAUGAAAUGUGAG
RNAcentral lists this long non-coding RNA (873 nucleotides) under Gossypium raimondii (Peruvian cotton). RNAcentral describes it as "long non-coding RNA (GRAI_LNC004953)". Lineage: Eukaryota; Viridiplantae; Streptophyta; Magnoliopsida; Malvales; Malvaceae. The record is from RNAcentral.